UGACCCCCGCUUGUUUUUGGACCACGAGAAAACCCCGCAGCAGCAUCAACACCGCCCGGAACCAAAACUCAGCAGUUGAUGUUUCCACUCGGAUCCAACCCAUCCAGAGAAGCUCGAUCUGCUGAUCCCGGUAUCCAGUUCCCAAUGCUCAUUCUCAUAUUUAUUCAAUAAAUCUGUUAAACCUUU
This is a long non-coding RNA of Austrofundulus limnaeus, 186 nucleotides long. RefSeq lists it as uncharacterized. The record is from RefSeq and is a predicted model, not a curated record. The transcript is spliced from 2 exons. NCBI's taxonomy places the organism in Eukaryota, Metazoa, Chordata, Actinopteri, Cyprinodontiformes, Rivulidae.